GAUGAACGCUGGCGGCGUGCCUAAUACAUGCAAGUCGAGCGAACAGACGAGGAGCUUGCUCCUCUGACGUUAGCGGCGGACGGGUGAGUAACACGUGGAUAACCUACCUAUAAGACUGGGAUAACUUCGGGAAACCGGAGCUAAUACCGGAUAAUAUAUUGAACCGCAUGGUUCAAUAGUGAAAGACGGUUUUGCUGUCACUUAUAGAUGGAUCCGCGCCGCAUUAGCUAGUUGGUAAGGUAACGGCUUACCAAGGCAACGAUGCGUAGCCGACCUGAGAGGGAGAUAGGCCACACUGGAACUGAGACACGGUCCAGACUCCUACGGGAGGCAGCAGUAGGGAAUCUUCCGCAAUGGGCGAAAGCCUGACGGAGCACCGCCGCGUGAGUGAUGAAGGUCUUCGGAUCGUAAAACUCUGUUAUUAGGGAAGAACAAAUGUGUAAGUAACUAUGCACGUCUUGACGGUACCUAAUCAGAAAGCCACGGCUAACUACGUG
Molecule: ribosomal RNA, 497 nt
Filed under: uncultured bacterium
Lineage: Bacteria
Description: partial 16S ribosomal RNA
Rfam family: Bacterial small subunit ribosomal RNA
Source: RNAcentral